This 81-nucleotide non-coding RNA is filed under the name unclassified sequences. RNAcentral describes it as "pemK RNA". It matches the Rfam family "pemK RNA". The record is from RNAcentral.
ACAAUGAUACUUCUGCCCAGCCACAGAUUCAAGCAAUGGGGGCAGCUCGGAGAGAUCCUCGGAGGGGUGCAAUUCCCGUGG